This is an RNA transcript of Lolium rigidum, 2181 nucleotides long. RefSeq lists it as uncharacterized. NCBI's taxonomy places the organism in Eukaryota, Viridiplantae, Streptophyta, Magnoliopsida, Poales, Poaceae. The record is from RefSeq and is a predicted model, not a curated record. The transcript has 5 exons.
GCCUCGCCCGGCUCGAUUGUACUGCAGUGUACUGCGAGAAAGCGCGAGCACUGGAGCCGUACUGCAAGCGAGCCAGGGAAAAAACUGUUGAAGCCAUCCUCCUAUCCUCUCACCUUUGCUCUCUCCCUCCCAACCCCUAAUUUUUCUCCCCUCCCAAUCAUCCUGGCGGCAGCAGCAGAGGCGAGAGGGCAACAGAGCUGCGACGACCAGGUCAAGAACCCCAGCAGCCGCCUCCCCUCCCCUACCCCCUUUUCAUCGCCCAGAUGCUCAUCAGGGAGCAGGACGACCUGUGCCUCCAGAUGUGCCGCUGCCGCGACAUGGAAGCUGGCCUACUGAUGCUGCUCUCCUCCCGUGUCGGGGACGACGAGCUACUGCUGCACACCGGUGAAUAGUGGCAAUCGAGUACUCCUUUAUGUCAAGUUCGUUCCCCUUUUUCUAAUGGAAUGCUGUCAUUUUCUUAUUUCUAUUGCAAUGAUUGAUGGUAAAGCCCAAUGCAUCGGUCAGGCGAGGAUGGGAGGCGGCGGGUUCAGGAGGGCGCCUGGCAGGGAUGAUGUGGCGCCAUAUUUGUGGCGUAAGAGAAGGAGGGGGACCUAUCGGCUUAUGAGUGAUAGUCCACAUCGAACACACAUGUGUUCUAUGGAAGUGCUAGGAGCAGCAAAUCUCCUUAUUAAUGUGUUGCCAUACCUGGCAGGGCUAGCCAUUUUAAAUUUAUUCGUUCCUUCACUCAGAUAAUUUUUGUUUGGUUCCAUUUGUUUGUAGGUUCUUGUGGAGGUUGGUCGAGCUCCAAGACAGGGUCAGAGUUGGUCAAGAGAACCAAUGAUCUUGUGAAAAAUAAAUCCAUCUGACCUCUAUUAUAUGUGGCUACAGGGUGACCUCUAUUAUUUGUCGCUACAGGGUGAGCUUAUAAUGUCUUAGAUUAUUUAUUUUUGACAUAUGUAUUCUACCAUAUUGCUAUGCGUGAAGCUUGCGAAUAUGUUGAAGAAAGUUGCCUGUCAAGGUAAAAGAAUAUUAUAUCCGGGACUAGUGGCAGUAGAACUAUGUUCCGUUCCAUGCUUAUUGUCAUAGUUGUCAUAUGCUGAUAAUGCCGGCAUGUUGUGGUGUUCAUACUCUCAUGCUUAUCCUCAGAUUUUGAACUUAUUUGUUUGAAACACGUAUACCUCCUCAUGGUCUCAAUAAUAGUUGGAUUGUAACUGUAGUCCGUAACAGUCUUUUUGUCUUUCAUUUGGCUAGCUUCCCUGUUGAACUAGGAUGUCCAGUAUAUAAAUACAGAGAUGGACCUCUCAAGGCUGUAGAUGAAUAUCAGUUUUGCAAACCUUAUGUGAUGGUACUGUCAGGAUUCAGGAAGCAACUAUUUAUGUUUUCCCAGAGCCCUUUCAUUCUUCCCCAAAUUUAAACUAUAUUGAUAAUAUAAAUACCUACCCUCUUUAUAAGUAUCUGUGUAUGGUGUAAUUAUGUACAUCUAAUGUACCUACCCUCUUUAUAAGUAUCUGUGUAUGGUGUAAUUAUGUACAUCUAAUGUCGUGUUGAGUUUUCUGGUAUGUGCUUCUUGUAGGUUAUUGUCAUAGUGGGAGAAACUGGUUAUGGUUAAAUGGUGCAAAUACCUCAGUAUCUUCCUGGAGCUAGAUAUACAGCAAGAGGAAAGUGCAGUCUACAUGCUCUGGUACAUUAGUGAAAUGGCUAUGCUCUGCUCCUUGGCGGUAUUCGGCGGGAGUAGCACUGGCCGCCGCAGCACAGCAACUUCGAGAAGAGCUGUCUUCCAAUCAGGUUUCUUUUCAGCACUGCAAGGCCUGGAGCUCCAUCAUGCAGCUUGUUGCUGCUGAAAGCUCUAGACAGAUUCCGCGGGGACUUUUCGAUGUGGUCGGACGCUCAAAAAUGCUGAACCUAGGAAGACCACAUGGACGACUGAAUAUAAUGGCCAACUGGGUGCUGCUGAGUCUCUGGUGCUUUGUAUUCUUUUUUUCUUCAGUUUUUCGGUUUCGCUCCCAGCUUGGUUUGGUUUGUCUUCAAAUCCUGUAACUCUCCUCUAAUCCAUAAUCAAUGAAAAGUUGCACUGACAGCCCUUUCGUCAAGAAAAGUUUCAACUUCUCAGCCUUUUAUUUUUGUUUUUCCAUGAUAAUUGAGGAGAAAAGAAUUCUGUUGUUCAACACAAAGUAAAUUGUUGCGACGGCUCUUGCAUUCUAA